UGUAUCUGAAGCCUGACGAGGAUGAGAACCUCCGGGGGCAAGAGGUGCGACCCGAGCGAAGCGAGAGAACGUUGCGCCAGCAACGGCCCGCAGGGCGAGCCACGCAGUGGCGAGUCAUCCUCUAUCACCGACCA
This 134-nucleotide small RNA is filed under the name Salmonella enterica. RNAcentral's name for it is "RtT sRNA". It matches the Rfam family "RtT RNA". From Rfam's summary of the family: This family represents a bacterial cis-regulatory element known as RtT RNA. RNAcentral also lists the same sequence under 3 other names. Lineage: Bacteria; Pseudomonadati; Pseudomonadota; Gammaproteobacteria; Enterobacterales; Enterobacteriaceae. The record is from RNAcentral.